CGCUUACCAUCAACAAAGAGUCAAAGUGGAGUAAAGAUGUUUUCAGAUAAGUAAAGUCUUCAGAAAGUAGUUUCUCUGCACUGAUUCUUGAGAUACUUGAGAGUGUGUUCCUCCAAAAUGAGGAAAUAAACAAGAAAUGGGGAAAUGCAAGAUCCAAGAAACAGGAUUUCCAACGCAGGAGAGGAGUGGAAGGACUAUCCAGAAGGACUGAGGGGAAAUGCCAGAGAGACACUGUGUAGCACAUCUAGGAAGCAUCCAGUCCAGAUGAGAGCAGGAACCCAGAGGGCUCCAGAAGUGUCUCCAGAAAAACUUGAAACAGAGAGCACUUGACAUGUUUGAACCUAAGUUCUCAGAGAAGACUCAGCCCUUAAGUGAAGUCUAGAGGAUGCUUGUCCUUGGAAGCCAGCCAUUGUGCUGCAAGAAAGACUGGGUUACACAGAGAGGCCCAUGUGGAGAGAAACUGAGGCCCCUAGCCAUCAGCCCCAGCUGAGCUCCCUGCCGACAUGGAGCAUCAACUUAUUAGCCAGUGAACAAUCAUGAGAAAGUUCUAAAAGUUGAGCUCCGCAUGUUCAAAUGCCAGCAUUUGCCCAGGACCUCAUCCAAGACAAAGCCUACCACUAUCACAGGGCGGAGGAAGUGCACAAGGUCUUGGGUUCAUGCCAGAAUCAGAGUAAGGGAGCCUAUUUUCAACCGAGGAUCUUCCUCUGGCCUCUGAAGUCUGACCUAGACGCUUACCCUGGCCUUGGCAACGUGGUACCAAGCGACUAGAGUCCCACUGGGCUGCUUCCCCCUCACUGUGACUCUUACGUCCCAAAGUUCUUGUUACUGAAGCCCAAUUUCCAGGAACUGGCUCUGAUCUGAUUCAUGGGCUGCACAUAAGCUGCACAUUUCAGAUGUGUGAUGUGGUCCCAAUCUCGUCUUCCGUGGGUACCUCUGAAGUUUGGUGCUGCAUUCAGAGGGCGAGGGGUGGAGCCAAACUGUGUUGGCUCGUCUUCCACAGCUUGGAAUUUCCUAGCUAUGUGACCCUGGGGAAGUUACUUAACUCCUCCAUGUUCUCAGUUUCUUCAUCACAGGCUCGUUGUGAAGGUUAAAUACAUCAAUACAUGUAAACUGCUUUGAACCUUGCCAGGUACACAAAAUGCCAAAUUAACAUCGACUGUUAUUAUGCUUCAGCCACAUUGGCCUCCUGUUACCUACAAUACACCAUACUCCUCUCUACCUCAGAACUUUCACACAUGUGACUCCUCUCUACCUGGAAUCUUCCUUGCUCAUUCUUUUCCUUCAGGUCCCAAGUUAAACGGCACUUUGUCAGGGAGGCCAUUCCUGACCCAUCCAAGUUCCAGGUUAAGUCUCUUCUAAUACGUUCCUGUAACUCCCUGCAUAUCAGCCCAAUACUAAUCACAUUUGCAAUUUCUUGUUCAAUGACCAUCUUUCAGGCUAGACUACACACUCCAAAGGUAAGAAGGGGAUGCAUUUGUCUUAUUCAUUCUUGGACACCCAACACCCAGCACAGAGAUUACAAAUAAAUAUUUACAGGGUAAAUGAACCAACGGACUGUAAAGAGGGAAUUGGAGAAGGUUCGUGGAGGUGACAGUCCCAGACUUUGGGACAAGGUUACAUCCAAUAAUAAAAUUAAAAGACACAAAAUAAAGUAGAUUAGAUUAGCCACCUGGAGACCAGACAGCAAAUGAGUGGUUAGGGAGAUGGAGAAACAUCUAAGGCCCAGACAGGUUCGCCAGGAUGUACUGGCCUUUAGCGUUAGUUCUGCAAAACAAGGGAGCAGAAAGCUCAGCGGUGCAUUGAAUAAUAUUUUUGCCACCUGUAAGAAAUCAUCAUGGCAUGUAUCCCCAAAGCCUCCCUCUCCAAAGGGAGCAGAGGAUCCAAGUUGCCUGGAUAAUGUUAGUAACGCCUCCUUUUGGUACAUGCCUGAAGAACAGUGGUUCUCCCAUGAUGUUGCUUUUGCUCACUUCUUUAUUUGGCUGAGGGUGGGAGGAGCCAAGUAGGUUAGCAACACAUGCCCAAGAAGGAGGAGAGAGGAAAAGAUGUGUUCAUGGCUAGCACACAGCCCCUUCCUUCCCCUAAUCCUCCUUCAGAGUAGAACAUAGCUCAGCAUUAAAUAUUAAAUAAGUGAACUUGCUCAGUGCUCCAAUCACCCACAGCACAGCUUCUACAACACACUCACACAUUUCGAAGCCUCCUAAUUAACCAGAGGAAGCUAGAACUUCAUGGCGUUGUAGACAGCUCUAACGAGCUUGUUUUACAGGAGUUAAAGAAAUGUGUUGAUUGGAAAGUCGGGAGCACUAACGAUAAAAGACAAUGGACCCAAUACAUGGAGGCCAUUCUGUCUGUCCUGGAAGGAGAAAGAAGUUAGGGAAGUAAAGUUGGUCUACUGGGAGACUGGUGCCUUUCUCCAGAAUGACAGCCUCAAAACUGACUUCAUCGAACUGUCUUUACAGACUCUUAUUUGGGCAGAUCAGGAAGGUCCCUACACCUGCGUUCUAGCUUUGGUUUCUCAGACUCUGCCAGGUGGGACAGGUCCUGAGGAGCGAUGGGACGAGGAGUGCAGGGAGAAAGGGAGCAGAGAGGCCUGUGACAGCCUUCAUGCCCGUGCAGAGAGGAGAGAAUCCGUCCCCCUUGUUUCUUCACAGUGGGAAAGAAGGGAGAAAGAUCUGCAAAUUAAUCCAUUGUGACAACCUUUGUGAAGAACCUCACUGUUUGAUCUUGAAAAGAUUUCAUAAUUCUUUUGAUGGCUUUGAGAAGAGAAGGGGUAAAAAGUUAACUUCCUUUUGGAUUCUCUUAUCAAGAGUAAAUAAAGUUCAACUUUGCAUGUUCUCUAGUUAGCAAGCUCCCCUUCCUGGGACCCAGAGAUCAAGUUUGUGAUUGAGAGAAUUCAAUAAACAUGAGGAAAUGUGACCCAUUUGGGAACAAAGAUCCCAAUGUGCUCAUCUCCAAAGGGAAUCUGACUCUCCCCUGAAACUGUCAUAAGCCUCGGCCAGAGAAAUAUUCCCACCUCUGCAGGCAGGCGCUGAGCAGUUGGGUGAGCCGGGCCUGACCCUAGGAUUGCAGUAUGCUUCCCUUUCCAAGAAAAUGACCUGGGCAGGAAGACGAGAUAAAUGAAGCCCCCGAUGAAUGAGCAAAGGGAAGUUAGCUGGCUUUCCAAACUGGGUUCUGCCAGUGUCCCUCUAAGUGACCUUGUCUAAAUUAUAUCUUCUUUCUAGGCCUCAGGUUCUCAUUCUGUACAAUGGGAUAACAACUUCACUCUUACCUUACUCACUGGUUCAGCAUUCAAGAUGCCAACAUUUCACCUGCCAUCAAGCUACACAGCUGCAAGCUACCAGCUUCUAAACAGAGGGCUCUGGCCUUCGGUCCCAGGUGGUACAGUAUCAAAUGACUGGUAUUUCCACUUGGUGCUUGCCUGAAAAAGGAAGUAAACUGGGGCUGGCGCCAUGGCGUAGUGGUUAAGUUCGUGCACUCUGCUUUGGUGGCCCACGGUUCACAAGUUCUGAUCCUGGGCAUGGACCUAGCACUGCUUAUCAAGCCACGCUGUGGCAGCAUCCCACAUAAAGCAGAGGAAGACUGGCACAGAUAUUAGCUCAGCCACAAUCUUCCUCAUGAAAAAAAGGAAGUAAACUUUUUAUUCAAAUAGCCUAUAAAAAGACAAAAUAUUUCCAAUAAAAACUGUAAAAAUCUUUUAAAUUUUAUCCUCGGUAUAUGCAUUAUCUACUCAGAAAUAAUUAUUUAUAUUUUGAAAAUGUAAGCAACAAUUUGGGAGCUUUUCUACUAAUUUUUAAUGUGUUGUGUGUCAAAGUUUAACUGUAUGCAUCUAUUUUGAUUAGAUUUGUCUUUCGUCAUUUAUCAGCAUUCUCUUCCUUUAUAAUCAAUAAUCUUCCCCAAGACCUUGUACACUCCAGGGGCUUCUACUGCCCCAUGUGGUGGAAUGUUCCUUCCACUCUUCUUCCGUCGGGGUCUUUACCUGUUAGCAAAAUGGUCUCUUCUUAGCUUUUGUACACUGAGAGAAAGAAAGGCUUGCUUUUACUUUUGUAAGUUUCUGGCUCUCAUCUCCUGCUUCCUCAUAUAUUAUAUUCAAUUCAGUUCAAUUUAACCAACAUUUAUUGAGCCCCCAAUAUGUACCAGGAACUUCGCUGGCACUGGGGGCUUCCAAGAUGCGUCAGGCACAGCCCAGCCUUCCAGGUGCUGAUAGCCUGGUGGAGGAAGUGUCUAUCACAGACCAUUCGUCCAGCUGAAAGGGCUUUUGGCAUCACUUCCUAGAAAUCCCUUCAUUUUACAGAUGCUGUUACUAAGAUCCAGCAAGCGAAGUGACUCACCCAAGUUCUACCUUCCCAAUGGCCGAGGAAGGACCGGAGUUUAAGUCCCAUGGUUCAGAGUCUAGGGUUUGUUCCACCAUAUGCUAGUAGAGGAGUGAAGACAGAAAGAAAAAUAAAACAAAAAUCCUCUGCUGUUGCUCUACCUAGUAAGGAGAGAAAUGUGACACGAAUCUCUGUUCUAUAGAUCUGAUAAUCAGGAUAAAUCACUAAGAAGUAAUUUAAAAAUGCAUAAACUUUUUAAACUCAAUAUUUCAUAACCUAAAAAUUUGUAUAUGACAUUUAGGAACUUUGACACUAUUUGAUCCAGGCAAAUAUUUAAUUCUCCUAAUCCCACUAUUUCCUGCCUUAUAACCCUCUUCAUUUGUUCUUAAAGUUGAAUGUAACUCUAAGUCAGGGAUCUAGCCAGAUUCAACCUUUUCUGGUUUGAAAAUAUUUUUAAUCUUAGGUUGCAAACAUUAUAAAUUACUUAUUUUUUUAUUUUACUUACUAUUUUAUUGAGAUAUAAUCGAUAUAGAAAAAACUGCACAUAUUUAAUGUAUACAAUUUGAUGAGUUUAGUCAUAUGCAUACGCCCAUGACACCAUCACCAUAUCCAUCAUCUCCAAAAGUUCCUUAUGUUCCUUUUUUUGGUUUGUUUUUUGUAGUAAAACACUUAGUAUGAGAUCUACUCUCUUAAAACAUUUUCAGGUGCACAAUACUGUAUUGUUAACUACCGGUACAAUGUUGUACAGCAGAUCUCAAAAGUUUACUCAUCUUGUAUAACUGAAACUUUAUACCAACUGAAUAAUAAUUCUCCAUUUCCCCCACCCCCAAGCCCCUGGUAACCACCAUUCUCUUCUCUGCUUCCGUGAGCUUGACUAAUUUAGGUACCUCAUAGAAAUGAUAUUAUGCAGUAUUUAUCUUUCUGUGCCUGGCUUAUUUCAUUUAGUGUAAUGUCUUCUAGAUUCAACCAUGUCGUUGCAAAUGGCAGGAUUUCCUUUUUUUAAGGCUGAAUAAUAUUCCAUUGUGUGACUAUACCAUAUUUUCUUUAUCCAUUCAUCUGUGAGUGGACAUUUGGGUUGUUUCCAUAUCUUGGCUAUUGUGAACAAUGCCGCAAUGAACAUGGGAGUGCAGCUAUCUCUGUUUUCAUUUCCUUUUGGCUAUAUACCCAGAAGUGGGAUUGCUGAGUCAUAUGGUAGUUCUAUUUUUCAUUUUUCUAGGAACCUCCUUACUGUGCUCCGCAGCAGCAGCACCAUUUUACAUUCUGACCAACAGUGUAGAAGGGUUCCAAUUCCUCCACAUCCUCACCGACACUUGUUAUCUUCUGUUUUUUGACCACCUUAACACCUGCAUGUCCUUUCCUCUUAUCUGCACGCUAUUUCCAGGUUGUUCUGGAGGGAAGCCUAACUAACCUGCGAUCCCUACCUCAUAUCAGCACACUGAGGACAGAAACACCUCUUCUGUUUCCUGAAGUUGUCUUCUACCAUAUCUACCACUUUACGCAGAGUCCUUUCCUUAAAGAUCUAGACUUUUCACCAGGCUGGAAUUUUAAAGCACCAGCCAGCCAGCCUUGGUCUCUCAAGGGGCUGCUUCUGCUGACCCAUCUCAUGUGCUCCUGUUUAGAAUUACCUCACCCCAGGAGCCCAGAAGUGAUCUCAGAAGGUAUGAAACACCUUUAAGGGACUUGUUUAAAAACCUUUUGUCUACAUAAAUUCAGAGCAAAUAAUAGCCUAUUCCACAAAUGUCAUGAGGCCUUAGAGAUUAUCUCUUCCAAUUACAGGCAAGACAACUAAAGCUCAGAGAGGUGAAAUAAAUUGUCCAAAAGCAUGUAGCUACUUGAUGACAGAACUAAAUUUAGAAUUUAAGUUUCUUGAAGACCCCUGCAAUGCAUUUUCAAAUAUAUUAUAUUUCUAUUCAAAUUAGAAAUACAUAAGUAGUAAUGAAUUACUAAUAAACACUUAAUGAGUACUAGAAGGCAAAAGGUUCUGGGUUAUGUGCUAUGGAGGAUACAAAAAUGAAUAAGAUGCACUUCCCAGCCACUAGGGGCUCACAGCCUAGGAGAGGAGAGAGAAGGCACUACAAUUCAAGGCAGCUUUCAAAAAACUGCACUAUUUGAGAUUAAGCAGUAAAAGGUUGGGAGAGAUGAGAAAGGGAGUAAUUUUGAUUCCAGAGGUUUAGGAAACCCAGUGGAGAAGGCUUGUUUUGAGCUGAGCCUUGAAGGAUGAGUAGAAUUUUGAUGGAGGGCGUUCUAGAGGAGCAGGACACAGCCACAGAGGCAGAUGGGUUUCUGAGCUCUCCUCAGAUUUCACUAGUUAAUUAGGGAGGGUGGCAUCUGAAUUUUAGUGACUGGGUGCAAGGUUCGGCAUUCUGGGCUGGGCUUAAAAAUCUAGCCUCUGAUCCAUAGCCAAGAGUAGUAUAGGCCACAGAGUUUACUGAUUGCUCAAAAACCUAGAUUGUCUGGGUUCAUAUCCCAUCCCCAUCACUUACUAGCAGUAUGACUUUGUGCCUCUCUCUGCCUCAGUUUCCUCAUCUGUAAAGUGGAGCUUAUAAUAUUAUCUACCUCAUAAGCUUUUUGUGAGAAUUAAGUUAGUCAAUACAGGUAAAGUGCUUAGAACAAUGUCUGGGAUGCAGUAAGGGCUAGAUAGGUGUUUGUUAAAACAGUCCAAUCUGGCUGAACACAGUAGGUUGUUUCAGAUCAAAGAUUCUCUGUAGAGGCAGAGAAAAACUGUGAAGAGUCUCUACUCUGCUACUCAAAUAAGAAGGAGAAGAAAAAUACCUUAGUACCAAAUUCUGUGAUGAAUUUACAAAAAAAAUGCUUGGGGUAGAGUGUCCUUUGUCAUUGCCCCAAUCCCCUGUCUCACCUCUGCCAGCAGAUCCCAGACACGUGAGGUGACCCCCUGUGAUGCUCCUCACCCUAAGAUGAUGAGUUUGGCCUUACCCGGAAUUACAGUCUGUUCUUAGUAAUGCACUGAAAUCACAUGGGAGCUCGAUUCUCCAUGGCUCAGAAUAGAUCCUGACCUCGCUGUGGGCUCCCUGCGCUAAUGGUUUCAUGUAUUCCAGAUUGCAUUACUACCAGGAAUCGAUUUUUCAGCUCUUUAAAAACAGCCUAUUUUGGUCAUCUUUCCCCUAUUCUUAGAGAUGUAUUUAUUUCCCAGAAUGUGUAGUGACUCUUAGACAAAAUAAAUUCUGAUUACUGAAGUGGAAGCAAUCCAGUUGUCAGGGAAGCUGGAAGGUUUACCUUGGGAAAUUCUUUUGUAGGUCAAAGCAAAGGAAAUUUAUUUCUCUAACUUGGAGGCCCAAAGCGAAACAAGCAAUGUAAGAUUCAACUGAAAUUUGAGAACUUCUAUAAACGAUGUCAGGUAUAUAGAGCACUACAGUUUAUACAGUGGCGCUAUCCAAUAUGGUAGCCACUAGCCACAUACAGCUAUUAGGCACUUGAAAUGUGGCCGAGGUGAUUAAAGAAAUGAAUUUCUAAUUUUAUUUAAUUUUAACUAAUUUUAAUUUAAAAACUAAUAUGAGUCAGUCACUAAAAAACUUUUUAAGUUUGGGAAAGUUGAGGGAUAUAAGUCUACUUAAUCAACUAUAGAUAUUAUGUAAUCUAAAUACAGAUCAAGUAUAUCUGAUUAAUAUUUAGCAUCCAAAUUGAGAUUUACUGUAAGUGUAAAAUACACUGGAUUCAUAAACUUAGUAUAAAAAAAUGUAAAAUAGCUCCUUAAUACUUUUUUCAUAUUGAUCACAUGUUGAAUUGAUAAUAUUUUGGUUGUGUUGGGUCGAAUAAAAUAUGUCAUUAAAAUUAAGUUCACUGGACUCUUCUUACUUUUAUUUAAUGUGGCUUAGAAAAAUUUAAAUUACUUUUGUGGCUCACAUUAUAUUUCUAUUGGACAGCACUAUUACAGAGCAACACCAACCCAUUUGUUCCUUACUACAGUCCCGUGACUUGGUCAAAACAGGUAUUAUUAUCCCUGUUUAAAAGAUAUGGGAACAAAAGUUGAGGUAGUGGCAGCUCACCAAGCCUUGGAAUGAGAGCCAGAGCCUGACUCCAGGGCUUCUGACUGAAAUCCAGGGCCCUUCCAGUGCACUGUGUUAGUUUGAAACUACAGAUGAAACAUAAGAAAGGCCUCUUGGACUCUUAAACUCAACCUGUUAAUUCUGAACCUAAGCAACGAAAGGGAGGCAAACAAGCCUUAAAAGAACAACAUAUCCUAAGCAAAGAUCACAAGAGCAUGCACACACACACAGACACUUGUACCAUGUAUACUGCAUUUAUUAGAACAACUAUCAGGAAUGAUCAAUUACCAGGCAACUAUAAACUGAACAGCUACCAGAACUCACACAAGACUGGAAGACAUACAGAUUCCAUUCAGACAAGUAAGAGACAUCAUUAAACACUUAAAGAAUUCCAUAGAGACACAGCAAAGGUCAUGUCACCCUAGAGUAAAGGCUCCAAAACCACCCUAACAAAGCUUAAAAAUAAGCCUCACAGGACCAAGCUGAUGCAGAAGUAAAUUAACUGCCUGUCAGAACGAAGCCCAACACUGUUUAAAUAAAGCCAACAAAAUCUGGACACUUUAUAAGUAGAAUCUAAAUGUCUCACAUCCAAUUGAGAAUCACUAGACAUAUGGAGAAGCAGGCAUUAGAAACAGAUCUAGAAAUGACAUAUAUGUUGAAAUCAGUAGAAAACCCUCUACAACAAAUAUUAUAAAUAUGUCCAAGAAUUUAAAGGAAAACAUGAACACAAGGGAAACUUCAUACUGCUUGUGGGCAAAAGUCGAGAAAAGAUUCAUCUAUAGUGAUAGAAGGUAAAUCAGUGGUUACCUAAAGGUGCUGACAGGAGAUUGACUGGAGUGGAGCUCCAGAGAUUUUUUUUUUUGAGUGAUGGAAUAUUCUGUAACUUGGCUGAGGUGGUGAUUAUACUCAACGUUCAUCAAAAUGUACACAUAAAAUGGGUACAUUUUAUUAGAUAUGUAAAUUAUAUUUCCAAAAGAAGUUGAUUUAAAAUACUCCAAAAAUAAAUAAAAAUAGGCAGAGGAAAAUAGAGGAGGGUGUGAAUGGCCCCAGAUUAGCCAUGAGUUGGUCAUUUUGGAGGCUGGAUGAUGGUUACAUGGUGAUUUGCUAUAUUGUUCCAAAUUUCCUAUAAUCAAAAAAAAAGUUUUUUUUUUUAAAAAAAGAGGAGAAAUAGGCUUCUGGUUCUGUCUGAGGGAAUAUAAUAUUGCAGGUGAUUUGUUUUUAACCUCUCCGUAAGUCUUUUCUCUUUCUAAAAAUUUAUUUAUUUUUAUUUUACAUCCUCAAUCAUCCUUUCAUUUUCACUACCUCCUCGUAGACACUCACUCAAAGUGGUUCACAUCUUUGGAUAUUUAUCUUUGAAUAUUUAUCAAUAUUAUCAAUUUAUCAAUAUUAUCUUUGAAAAGCAGUAUUGCCUUUGGUAUAUAUGUAUUUUAAAUUUACAUAUAUUGUGCAAUAGAUCUCAUUCUUUUCCUUUUUGUUUUUGUUUCACUCAACACUAUUUAGAAGCUAUAUGUAUCUUUUCUUCAUUUCAUUAUAAAUAUAAAUGAAUAUUUAUAUUCAUUCCCCAAGUGAAGAAUGUCUCAGUUGCCUCCUAUUCCUCACUUUCACAUAUAUCAAAAAAUGCUUCAAAAAAAAUUUGUACAUGUCUUAUGUAUCUGUGUACUGGUUUUUCUGUGGAAUUUAGCCAGCAGUAGAAUUGCUGAAUUUUAGACUAUAUACAUACCUAAUUUCCAUAGGGACUACUUUCACAAAACUUUCAAAUGGCUUCUCAUCCUAUUCAGAGUGAAAUCCAAAGUUUUCAAAACAUAUACUGCCCUUGUUAUCUGCCCCUAUUUAUCUCUCUUACCUCAUUUCCUCUUAUUCUUCUCUUAACUUCCUCAGCUCAAGUCACAGUAACCUUGCUGUUCCUUCAAUAUUUUAGCAGUGUUCUCAGUUCGGAUCUCUGUGCUUACUGUUAACUGCCUGGGACUCUCUGCUCCAGGAUUUCGUGGUUAAUCCCUCACAGGUCUUUGCUCAAAUGUUUCCUUCUCAGUGAAAUCUUCCCUAGCCGCCAAAUUUAAAAUUGUAACUGUUCCUUUU
Long non-coding RNA from Equus caballus (horse), 10387 nucleotides. The record is from Ensembl. Lineage: Eukaryota; Metazoa; Chordata; Mammalia; Perissodactyla; Equidae.